RNAcentral lists this ribosomal RNA (465 nucleotides) under uncultured bacterium. Its description in RNAcentral is "partial 16S ribosomal RNA". It matches the Rfam family "Bacterial small subunit ribosomal RNA", at positions 28 to 507 of the family's 1533-position model. The record is from RNAcentral.
GACGAACGCUGGCGGCGUGCUUAACACAUGCAAGUCGUACGGUAAGGCCCUUUCGGGGGUACACGAGUGGCGAACGGGUGAGUAACACGUGAGUAACCUGCCCACAACUUUGGGAUAACGCUAGGAAACUGGUGCUAAUACUGGAUAUGUGCUCCUGCUGCAUGGUGGGGGUUGGAAAGCUCCGGCGGUUGUGGAUGGACUCGCGGCCUAUCAGCUUGUUGGUGGGGUAGUGGCCUACCAAGGCGGCGACGGGUAGUCGGCCUGAGAGGGUGAUCGGCCACAUUGGGACUGAGAUACGGCCCAGACUCCUACGGGAGGCAGCAGUGGGGAAUAUUGCACAAUGGGCGCAAGCCUGAUGCAGCAACGCCGCGUGCGGGAUGACGGCCUUCGGGUUGUAAACCGCUUUCAGCAGGGACGAAGCUUUUUGUGACGGUACCUGCAGAAGAAGCACCGGCUAACUACGUG